RNAcentral lists this ribosomal RNA (494 nucleotides) under uncultured bacterium. Its description in RNAcentral is "bacterial SSU rRNA". It matches the Rfam family "Bacterial small subunit ribosomal RNA", at positions 903 to 1397 of the family's 1533-position model. The record is from RNAcentral.
AAAGGAAUAGACGGGGGCCCGCACAAGCGGAGGAACAUGUGGUUUAAUUCGAUGAUACGCGAGGAACCUUACCCGGGCUCGAACGGCUGUUGAAUUUUGGUGAAAGCCAAAAGGCCGCAAGGACAAUAGUCGAGGUGCUGCAUGGUUGUCGUCAGCUCGUGCCGUGAGGUGUCGGCUUAAGUGCCAUAACGAGCGCAACCCUUACCGAUAGUUACCAGCAUAUAAAGAUGGGGACUCUGUCGGGACUGCCACCGUAAGGUGCGAGGAAGGUGGGGAUGACGUCAAAUCAGCACGGCCCUUACGUCCGGGGCGACACACGUGUUACAAUGGGGGGGACAAAGGGCAGCUACUUAGCGAUAAGAUGCCAAUCUCGAAACCCUCUCCCAGUUCGGAUCGAAGUCUGCAACCCGACUUCGUGAAGCUGGAUUCGCUAGUAAUCGCGCAUCAGCCAUGGCGCGGUGAAUACGUUCCCGGGCCUUGUACACACCGCCCGU